UCUGCGAUUUCCGAAUGGGGAAACCCAACUGCAUAAGCAGUUACUGUUAACUGAAUACAUAGGUUAACAGAGCAAACCGGGGGAACUGAAACAUCUAAGUACCCCGAGGAGAAGAAAUCAACCGAGAUUCCGGUAGUAGCGGCGAGCGAACCUGGAUUAGCCCUUAAGCACUCGGUGAAGUAGGUGAACAAGCUGGAAAGCUUGGCGAUACAGGGUGAUAGCCCCGUAACCGACGCUUCAUCGAGCGUGAAAUCGAGUAGGGCGGGACACGUGAUAUCCUGUCUGAAUAUGGGGGGACCAUCCUCCAAGGCUAAAUACUCCUGACUGACCGAUAGUGAACCAGUACCGUGAGGGAAAGGCGAAAAGAACCCCUGUGAGGGGAGUGAAAUAGAACCUGAAACCGUGUACGUACAAGCAGUAGGAGCACCUUCGUGGUGUGACUGCGUACCUUUUGUAUAAUGGGUCAGCGACUUAUAUUCAGUGGCAAGGUUAACCGUAUAGGGGAGCCGUAGCGAAAGCGAGUCUUAACUGGGCGCUCAGUCUCUGGAUAUAGACCCGAAACCGGGUGAUCUAGCCAUGGGCAGGUUGAAGGUUGAGUAACAUCAACUGGAGGACCGAACCGACUAAUGUUGAAAAAUUAGCGGAUGACUUGUGGCUAGGGGUGAAAGGCCAAUCAAACUCGGAGAUAGCUGGUUCUCCCCGAAAGCUAUUUAGGUAGCGCCUCGGACGAAUACUACUGGGGGUAGAGCACUGUUAAGGCUAGGGGGUCAUCCCGACUUACCAACCCUUUGCAAACUCCGAAUACCAGUAAGUACUAUCCGGGAGACACACGGCGGGUGCUAACGUCCGUCGUGGAGAGGGAAACAACCCAGACCGCCAGCUAAGGUCCCAAAGUAUUGCUAAGUGGGAAACGAUGUGGGAAGGCUCAGACAGCUAGGAUGUUGGCUUAGAAGCAGCCAUCAUUUAAAGAAAGCGUAAUAGCUCACUAGUCGAGUCGGCCUGCGCGGAAGAUGUAACGGGGCUAAGCAAUACACCGAAGCUGCGGCAAUGUCUUUUAGACAUUGGGUAGGGGAGCGUUCUGUAAGCCGUUGAAGGUGAAUCGUAAGGUUUGCUGGAGGUAUCAGAAGUGCGAAUGCUGACAUGAGUAACGACAAAGGGGGUGAAAAACCUCCUCGCCGGAAGACCAAGGGUUCCUGUCCAACGUUAAUCGGGGCAGGGUGAGUCGACCCCUAAGGUGAGGCCGAAAGGCGUAAUCGAUGGGAAACGGGUUAAUAUUCCCGUACUUCUGACUAUUGCGAUGGGGGGACGGAGAAGGCUAGGUGGGCCAGGCGACGGUUGUCCUGGUUCAAGUGCGUAGGCUUGAGAGUUAGGUAAAUCCGGCUCUCUCUAAG
This 1391-nucleotide ribosomal RNA is filed under the name Vibrio cholerae. Its description in RNAcentral is "partial 23S ribosomal RNA". It matches the Rfam family "Bacterial large subunit ribosomal RNA", at positions 104 to 1555 of the family's 2925-position model. Lineage: Bacteria; Pseudomonadati; Pseudomonadota; Gammaproteobacteria; Vibrionales; Vibrionaceae. The record is from RNAcentral.